Molecule: ribosomal RNA, 375 nt
Filed under: uncultured bacterium
Lineage: Bacteria
Description: bacterial SSU rRNA
Rfam family: Bacterial small subunit ribosomal RNA
Source: RNAcentral
UACGGAGGGUGCAAGCGUUAAUCGGAAUUACUGGGCGUAAAGCGCACGCAGGCGGUCUGUCAAGUCGGAUGUGAAAUCCCCGGGCUCAACCUGGGAACUGCAUCCGAAACUGGCAGGCUAGAGUCUUGUAGAGGGGGGUAGAAUUCCAGGUGUAGCGGUGAAAUGCGUAGAGAUCUGGAGGAAUACCGGUGGCGAAGGCGGCCCCCUGGACAAAGACUGACGCUCAGGUGCGAAAGCGUGGGGAGCAAACAGGAUUAGAUACCCUGGUAGUCCACGCUGUAAACGAUGUCGACUUGGAGGUGGUGCCCUUGAGGCGUGGGUGCCGGAGCUAACGCGUUAAGUCGACCGCCUGGGGAGUACGGCGGCAAGGUUGAA